Molecule: ribosomal RNA, 492 nt
Filed under: uncultured bacterium
Lineage: Bacteria
Description: partial 16S ribosomal RNA
Rfam family: Bacterial small subunit ribosomal RNA
Source: RNAcentral
AGUGAACGCUGGCGGUAGGCCUAACACAUGCAAGUCGAACGGCAGCACAGUAAGAGCUUGCUCUUACGGGUGGCGAGUGGCGGACGGGUGAGGAAUACAUCGGAAUCUACUUUUUCGUGGGUGAUAACGUAGGGAAACUUACGCUAAUACCGCAUACGACCUACGGGUGAAAUCAGGGGAUCUUCGGACCUUGCGUGAUUGAAUGAGCCGAUGUCGGAUUAGCUAGUUGGCGGGGUAAAGGCCCACCAAGGCGACGAUCCGUAGCUGGUCUGAGAGGAUGAUCAGCCACACUGGAACUGAGACACGGUCCAGACUCCUACGGGAGGCAGCAGUGGGGAAUAUUGGACAAUGGGCGCAAGCCUGAUCCAGCCAUGCCGCGUGGGUGAAGAAGGCCUUCGGGUUGUAAAGCCCUUUUGUUGGGAAAGAAAAGCAGUAGGUUAAUACCCCGCUGUUCUGACGGUACCAAAAGAAUAAGCACCGGCUAACUUCGUG